UUUCUGUUUCACCCACACUUCUCCUAUCCAUGGCUCCUUGGUCUACAACGCUCUGCACCUGGAAGAUAAAUCGGCACAAAAUUGUCACCGAGAACAUUAGAAGGGGAAGAUAAAAGACUUUGAUUCAUGAAGAAUCUGCUCACUGAGAAGUGUAUAUCAAGCCACAAUUUCCAUCAAAAAGUGAUUAAGCAGAGAAUGGAGAAGAAGGUUGAUUCCAGGUAUUUUAAGGAUGGUGCAGUUAAGAAACCUUAUUCUACAAAGACACUGUCCAACAAGAAGUCUUCUGCAUCCUUUGGGAUCCGGAGGGAGUUACCUAGUACCAGUCAUCUAGUGCAGUAUUGUGGCACACAUACUUGUACCCGACAGGGCCGGUUAAGAGAACUGCGCAUCAGGUGAGCUUAUGAGUGGACACCAGUCUAUGGGUACUUUUCUUUUGUUUUCCCUUCUUGGUUAAAAUGAGGGAAUGAUUCUUAUUCUCCCACCACAAUUAGUGGGAGAUCUUGAUGCCUGUUCUUUAUAGUAGAAUGUUCAGAUGAAAAGGAUAUUCAGGAAUCUGCAGACAUAAAAUCUGUCAUUGAGUGUUUUCAUUUCUCCAC
RNAcentral lists this small RNA (596 nucleotides) under Pongo abelii (Sumatran orangutan). RNAcentral's name for it is "processed transcript". The record is from RNAcentral. Lineage: Eukaryota; Metazoa; Chordata; Mammalia; Primates; Hominidae.